GGAAGCGUGCCUGAAUAAAGGAUCACUGUGAUAAAGUGAAUAUAGAGGUGUAACAGCCCUCUCACUUCCU
RNAcentral lists this transfer RNA (70 nucleotides) under Rhynchortyx cinctus (tawny-faced quail). RNAcentral describes it as "tRNA-Ile". The record is from RNAcentral. Lineage: Eukaryota; Metazoa; Chordata; Aves; Galliformes; Odontophoridae.